GGAAAUACAUUGAAGAAGGAAAGUAAUAUAGAUGGAAUUUACAGAGAGAGAACCAUUUGCUGAGAGGAUUCUUAUUGGAAAUCUAUAUGAAGUGCCCUUUGGAGUUAUGCACCGAAUUAAGUAGGCUGCAUCGGGUUUCUCCCGUUACAGAGAUAGAGCAUUAUUUAGUGCUUGAACAAGGUGGAUACUAGUAUCAAUUAGAGUGGAACCGCGGAUAUCACUUCGUCUCUAUA
This 233-nucleotide non-coding RNA is filed under the name Clostridium tepidiprofundi. RNAcentral's name for it is "T-box sequence". It matches the Rfam family "T-box leader". From Rfam's summary of the family: Uncharged tRNA acts as the effector for transcription antitermination of genes in the T-box leader family. T-boxes are found upstream of many aminoacyl-tRNA synthetase genes and some amino acid biosynthetic genes usually in Gram-positive bacteria. The record is from RNAcentral. Lineage: Bacteria; Bacillati; Bacillota; Clostridia; Eubacteriales; Clostridiaceae.